UCUAAUAUGGCAGAAUAGUGCGUCGGAUUUAAGCCCCGAAAAUAAAGGUUUUCUUUUUUUAGAA
RNAcentral lists this transfer RNA (64 nucleotides) under Altica tamaricis. Its description in RNAcentral is "tRNA-Leu". It matches the Rfam family "tRNA". Rfam says of the family: Transfer RNA (tRNA) molecules are approximately 80 nucleotides in length. Lineage: Eukaryota; Metazoa; Arthropoda; Insecta; Coleoptera; Chrysomelidae. The record is from RNAcentral.